This 404-nucleotide RNase P RNA is filed under the name Gammaproteobacteria bacterium. RNAcentral's name for it is "RNase P RNA component class A". It matches the Rfam family "Bacterial RNase P class A". From Rfam's summary of the family: Ribonuclease P (RNase P) is a ubiquitous endoribonuclease, found in archaea, bacteria and eukarya as well as chloroplasts and mitochondria. The record is from RNAcentral. Lineage: Bacteria; Pseudomonadati; Pseudomonadota; Gammaproteobacteria.
GGAGCCGACCGGGCAGUCGCUGCGACGUGAGGCACACAGUCGCACCGUCGUAGAGGAAAGUCCGGGCUCCACAGGGCUGGGUGUCAGGUAACGCCUGGGGGACGUGAGUCCACGGAAAGUGCCACAGAAAAUAUACCGCCAAGACAGUGCUCAGUUUUAAUCCACUGCGUUGCUGUCGUGGUAAGGGUGAAAAGGUGCGGUAAGAGCGCACCGCGCCGGUGGUAACAUCGGUGGCAGGGUAAACCCCACCCGGAGCAAGACCAAAUAGGGGAGCUCGUCAUGCUCGAACAUGACAAAGCGUGGCCCGCGCUGCUCCCGGGUAGGUCGCUAGAGAUGCACGGCGACGUGCAUCCCAGAUGAAUGACUGCACUCGACAGAACCCGGCUUACAGGUCGGCUCCCGCG